GCAGGAGCGGCCCUGGCUGGCGUGUUGGAGCCGCAGCGGCCGGGUGUCCGGGCAAGGGCAGUGAAUUACGGCACCGGCCGCCAUGUGGCCGGGAGGAGAAAUGCAAACAAGGAAACGGGGAAAGGGGAAGGGGCGCUGCUGCAGUUUUCAACAUCCAAAAUCAUCACAAAAGAGGAAGAGUGAAUGGAGGAUGCAUGGGAGAUUUUUAAGGUCCAGCCUGGAAAUGGCAUGCACUUCGCUUUGAUUCCAUCACUCAGAACUCAAUCCCAAGGCAUCAAUUCAACUGCAAGGACACCGGGAACUGUCCAAGUUCAAAUUUCGUAGUUCAUGUGCCAGAAGAGCCCCUGUUGGUGAGCAUCACUGGUCUCUGACUCAGGCAGGGAGAAUGGCCGUCUGUCUUGAGUCAGGGGACAGUAGUGUCUGUCUUGGGUUGGCAUGGGGGUGCACUUUCUGAAGGCAGUCUGGGUAGGAGACUGGUGUGGGAGACACGUAUGUGUGGCGCACACUGUGUGCUCUGUAGCUCCAUGAGCCUUGCAUUCUGUCCAUUCUUGUGGGCUUUCUCCAGACAACAUCUUAAUUAUCCCACACUUUACCAGUGAAAUAGCCUCAUGGAUGCUUUCUCUUCUACAAGUUUCUUUUCCUAUGAAAUCUAACUGAAUAUCACAGUCUAAAUAAUCUCCCUAAGACACCAUUUAUGUAAUGCUACUCCUGCUAAAAAAAAUCACAAUUUUUAACAGCAAUAAUACAUUUAUUGAGUUA
This is a long non-coding RNA of Manis pentadactyla (Chinese pangolin), 759 nucleotides long. RefSeq lists it as uncharacterized. The record is from RefSeq and is a predicted model, not a curated record. Lineage: Eukaryota; Metazoa; Chordata; Mammalia; Pholidota; Manidae. The transcript is spliced from 2 exons.